This 1940-nucleotide long non-coding RNA is filed under the name Ictidomys tridecemlineatus (thirteen-lined ground squirrel). RNAcentral's name for it is "lncRNA (ENSSTOG00000033387.1)". Lineage: Eukaryota; Metazoa; Chordata; Mammalia; Rodentia; Sciuridae. The record is from RNAcentral.
GGUCAUGCUGAGGAAGCGGCACUUGAAUUUGCCAAGCUAGAUGACAUCACCUCCCGAUUUAAAUGUGCUACUGUUGGCAAAACUCCACCCCAAGGGGUUAGGCCAAGAGGACAUUAACAGACUGUCCAUGGCAGAAGUAGCCUCAUCAUCACCCGCAACGGUGCGUAAGCUGAGUCAAAGGAGCUGAGCGAGUGGAGAGCAGAGACGGUCGGCAGGGGACAGGGCAGGCAGAUAGGGGACGCGAGGACAAGGAGUACUUAUUUGGCAGAACACAGCAGAGUUGAUGUCAUUUUGAGGAACUUGUUUGCCUGGGGAUUAUGUGAUUAAUGAGCACCGCGGGGCUCACCAGGGCACAGAGCUGAGUUUGGAAUGACGGGGGACUUCAGGACCCGGCUGCAGUCACCACUGCAGUGCCAAGUAAAUCAAUGCCGAAUCUGUAGUAAAUGGACUAAUUAAUACACUUGGAGGGUUCAAAAGCCCUCUCCAGCUCUAGAGAAGUUAUGACCAUGAGAAACGAUUGUCUGAAAGUUGGCUUCAUUUUCUAAACGCCACCUAACUGUAAAUACCACAGUUGUUUUCUUAGUGAAGCAGAAAUCAGAGCGCACCGGCUUCCGCCUGCCUCUGCUGGUGGACUCCCUCCCUGCACCCUCCUGGCCGCAGGUGGCUGGCCUCCCCCUUGCAGCCUCUCCUGCCUGGGCUCCCCUCUCCUGUCCUCCCCCAGCCACUCUCUCAUGCCGACGUCCCAGCACCACUUCUCCAGGCGCGCCAACCCACAGCUCCUUUCUGAGUGGCGGAGCCGGGAGCAGAGCCGAGGGAGAAGGGGGAGCCAGAGCCAGGGGGAGACUUCAGGACAGGUUUUCCAGGAAAGCAGAGCUGACGGACCUCCAGAGAUCCAUGGAAGACUCCAAUCGCAGGGUGAGGAGUCCCGUGGUCUGCCACGUGAAUGCCAGAGUCCCAGGAAUGCAGUGUCCAAGGCAGAAGAUGGAGUCAGCUCAAGACCAGUGGACUUGCUCUGUCUUCUGGGUCUACUGUGGCCCAGGGCAGUUUGGAUAUGCGGCCUAGUGUGGGUUGGGGGCUUGGGGGCAUCUUCUCUACCCACCCUGAUUCCAAUGCUCUUCUCUCCAGAGCCCACUCAGGGACACCCAGGAGCUGUGUUUCUCCAGCUACCGUGGGCGCCAUCAACACCAGCCAAGUUGACACAUGAAAUUAAACAUUCUGCCAUUUUGACCAGCUUCCCAAGACCCAGCCACAAGAGGAGUCUGUGGUUUUGAAUCUUGGAGCUGCUGGGGAUGCAGGGAGCCUUGGACUCUGGGUAGAGGCUGCAGGGCUGGCCCUGGGUCCCUGCUGUGCUCCUAGGACACUGCCCAGAUUGGUGAGGUUGCAGGUCUGCAGAGUCUCCACACACCCCAUGCAGGGUCACCCUCUUCCCUCCACAUCCAAGGUCUGCAGAGCACCAGCCGUGCUGGGGGUGAACUAUGCCGUUCUAAAGAACCCCAAGCCUGCAGCUGACACUGCUCAGGCAGCCUCGGGCUUACCCAGUCCAAAGAGCUGGACGACCCGGAGCAAGGCCUACUGGACCCACCGCCAGCCCGCACUCCCCAACCCGGGCUGCUCAGGCCCACAGAGCGCCCUCAGUAGUCGGGACAGCUGAGGCCUCCCACCGUUCACCUGGGCCCACACAUUCUCGGCUGCUCCCCCAGGCCCAAGCCCUGGGAGGGAGGGGCGCAGGGCCUCCACAGUGAGGAAGAGCCGCUCCCACACCUCACUGCCAACAGCAGCCAGAGCCUGUCCUUUGGCCCAGCACCCUGGCUGGAAGACAGGGGCAGGAAAGCCCCACCCCAGACCUGUCCCCACACCCAUGAGCCCACGCUGCAGUGGGUUCUCAGAGGGGCAGGAGGGCUCUCCUCACAAACCACCCAGCCCACUGCCCCAAUACACAC